This 253-nucleotide ribosomal RNA is filed under the name uncultured bacterium. Its description in RNAcentral is "partial 16S ribosomal RNA". It matches the Rfam family "Bacterial small subunit ribosomal RNA", at positions 524 to 776 of the family's 1533-position model. The record is from RNAcentral.
UACGAAGGGGGCUAGCGUUGCUCGGAAUCACUGGGCGUAAAGGGUGCGUAGGCGGGCUUUUAAGUCAGGGGUGAAAUCCUGGAGCUCAACUCCGGAACUGCCUUUGAUACUGAAGAUCUUGAGUCCGGGAGAGGUGAGUGGAACUGCGAGUGUAGAGGUGAAAUUCGUAGAUAUUCGCAAGAACACCAGUGGCGAAGGCGGCUCACUGGCCCGGUACUGACGCUGAGGCACGAAAGCGUGGGGAGCAAACAGG